AUCGACGGCCAUACCACCCUGAACGCGCCGGAUCUCAUCUGAUCUCGGAAGCUAAGCAGGGUCGGGCCUGGUUAGUACUUGGAUGGGAGAAGAAGUUCUCCAUAAUCCUCCCUAAGAGAAUGGGUGUUUUCCUCC
Panthera pardus (leopard) is the source of this 135-nucleotide ribosomal RNA. The record is from Ensembl. Lineage: Eukaryota; Metazoa; Chordata; Mammalia; Carnivora; Felidae.